GUGCUGGGUUCCCAAGCACAUAUGCUAAAAUUGGAAUGAUACAGAGAAGAUUAGCAUGGCCUAUUUGCUAGAAUGACACAAAAAUUCGUGAAGCCGCCAGAUUAAAA
This is a small nuclear RNA of Molossus molossus (Pallas's mastiff bat), 107 nucleotides long. The record is from RefSeq and is a predicted model, not a curated record. NCBI's taxonomy places the organism in Eukaryota, Metazoa, Chordata, Mammalia, Chiroptera, Molossidae.